Molecule: non-coding RNA, 1738 nt
Organism: Lonchura striata (white-rumped munia)
Lineage: Eukaryota; Metazoa; Chordata; Aves; Passeriformes; Estrildidae
Source: RefSeq, a predicted model, not a curated record
GGCAGGGGCUGUGGGAGGUGAACUGCUGGUUUGGGAGUGAGAGCUAGUCUGCACCAACCCUCCAUGCCAAACCAGGGGAGGGGAUCUGCUGAAGUGCCUCAGCACUUCUGUUUGGUAACACUCUUUGGGAAUAUACUCAAGGGGUUUAUGUGAUAAAUGUUUUCAAUAUUGAGAAGUAUAGCACAAGGCUUUUUUUUUAACUCUGGGGAAAAAUAAGGAUUUUUCUUUGAUUUUCUAUGCUUUUGUGCAUAUUUCCUAGUAGGUGCUCCUAGAGAAAUAAACAUGAAUUAUCUUGUAGUAAGACUGUAAUUUGCAUAUUUGUAAGAUGUAUGUGAAAUGUUGUCUGACAGUAAAGAAUGCCUUUUAAGCAGUAGUAUUUUGAAAGAGGAGGAGCAGUUGUAACCCAUCUUUUCUUCCUGAUGGAGGUGGUUAUGACACCAGGGUUGGCCUUUCUGAUGUUGGCAACGCCUCUGGGGUAGAUGGACCAUCAUCCACAUUAUUAGCUGACAGACCUGCCGGAUCCAGAGCCUCACACCUCUUGUGCAGAGGAACCUGAGGAAGUGAGGCAGAUUCCUGGAGAGGGCUCGCCUGCCACCCUAAGCAUCGAUUUGCCUCUGUUCUCUCCUUUACUGGAGGGAAGAGCAUGGCUCCAGCAGCUUUUUAUCAGACUCCCUGAUGUUCCUUAACCAGUCCAGUUCCUUUCAAAGCUCUGCCAUCAUCUGGCACAUCACCUCACACAGGUGUCCUCUCUCUGCCUUGCUCAGCUCCUGUGGACUAGAGGUGAAUACAUCAGCAACAACAAAACCAGCCAUGCCUGAAAACAGUGACAAAGAACACUGCCCAGCAUGGGACUUCUCACUGCAGAGGUCAUCCCUGCUCUGAGCUCGGCACUCAUUACUGUGUUUCACCAGCUUGUUAAUAGAAAAUUAUUGGCAGAGGAGGUUUAAUAAAGCAUAUUGCAACACAAACCACCAUAAUAAAGAUCUUGAACAAUAUCAGUGGGCCACAAAUAAAAACCCUGACAUGGGUUCCUUCCCUAACACAUGCACAUACACACACACACUAAGCACAUCUCAGUGUUAGUGGGUAUUACAGUGAAAUGAAAAAAUGCUGUGUUAUUUCUGCUUUAAGAUUCAAUACAGGUCAAGUUCAGGCAGUUUCAGGUUUCUACAUAACUGUAAACCAUUCUGCUUUUAAAAACAAAAUUAAUUUGGGAACCUUGAGGUGCUUUGCUUUUUUUUUGUAACUUCUUUUUUUUCAUUACAGUUUCAUAACAAGUAAUUGAAAAUAAGUACUUUUCCCCUUUCUAUAUUGAAGCUGCUGCUUAAUGCUGAUGUCUAACAAUAAUUUAACCUUAAAAACAAUCAAAACUUUCUGCUGUAAUUUCAGAGACUUCAACAUGCUCAUCUGAUCUCCAAGGACAGAAAGAAUUAUUACAUUCAAGGAAAAAAAGUCCACUCCUAUUUUAAUUAAAAAGAUGCUGUGUUUGUGCUGGAAAUUACUUCAAAGUUUGAAUUAAAGAUGAAAUUAUUUCCUUUAAUCAAAGUUAUAAAACAUUUAUGUUAUUAGUGUGCAUACCUAAAAGGGAUGAAAAUAAUCUUUUUUGCUUGUUCCAAACCUUUGCUGAGGACUGGAAUGUAUCUUGUUUCCCUUAUUACUUUUGGUUAUUUACAGUAUGUAACUCACAGGUCCUGUAAUAAGAGUUCCACAUUAAAAAGACCUCAAUCUCAUAGCACCA